ACUCUAAUAGUUUAGAAAAACAUUGGUCUUGUAAGCCAAAGAUCGAAGACUUACCCCUUCUUAGAGUU
RNAcentral lists this transfer RNA (68 nucleotides) under Smithornis sharpei. Its description in RNAcentral is "tRNA-Thr". It matches the Rfam family "tRNA". Rfam says of the family: Transfer RNA (tRNA) molecules are approximately 80 nucleotides in length. Their secondary structure includes four short double-helical elements and three loops (D, anti-codon, and T loops). The record is from RNAcentral. Lineage: Eukaryota; Metazoa; Chordata; Aves; Passeriformes; Eurylaimidae.